This 475-nucleotide ribosomal RNA is filed under the name uncultured bacterium. Its description in RNAcentral is "bacterial SSU rRNA". It matches the Rfam family "Bacterial small subunit ribosomal RNA", at positions 28 to 507 of the family's 1533-position model. The record is from RNAcentral.
GACGAACGCUGGCGGCGUGCCUAACACAUGCAAGUCGAGCGGGGUUGAAGCGAGAGGUAACUCGAACUUCUACCUAGCGGCGGACGGGUGAGUAACGCGUGGGCAACCUGCCUCAAGGUCUGGGAUAACAGCCCGAAAGGGCUGCUAAUACCGGGUAUGCUUGUGGCCUCGCAUGGGGCUAUGAGCAAAGGGGAAACCCGCCUUGAGAUGGGCCCGCGUCCCAUCAGCUAGUUGGUGAGGUAACAGCUCACCAAGGCGACGACGGGUAGCCGGCCUGAGAGGGUGACCGGCCACACUGGGACUGAGACACGGCCCAGACUCCUACGGGGGCAGCAGUGGGGGAUCUUGCACAAUGGGCGAAAGCCUGAUGCAGCGACGCCGCGUGAGCGAAGAAGGCCUUCGGGUUGUAAAGCUCUGUCUGGAGGGACGAAGGAAGUGACGGUACCUCCGGAGGAAGCCACGGCGUAACUACGUG